This 271-nucleotide long non-coding RNA is filed under the name Lathyrus oleraceus (garden pea). RNAcentral describes it as "Pisum sativum (pea) long non-coding RNA (PSAT_LNC003791)". The record is from RNAcentral. Lineage: Eukaryota; Viridiplantae; Streptophyta; Magnoliopsida; Fabales; Fabaceae.
AUCCCAGUGGCCAAAAUAGGACAAACCUCUUACUUAAGCUUAUGUUUCUUCUCGAGCUUGUGUGUAUAGCUUAUUCUCAAACAGAAAUUUAAAACCCACAAUGUUAAAAUAAAAUACAAGAUAAGGAUAAAAAAAAUUAAAGCAAAAACCAAAAUAAAUAAAAUAAAAAAUAAAAUAAAAAAUAAAAUAAAAAAUAAAAUAAAAAAUAAAAUAAAAUAAGCAAACAAAAACAUACAACCCUAGAACUAAAGGAUAACCUUGACUCACUUUA